CCCAUAGGCCAGAGAACGCCAGCCGGUGGAUAACUCGGCUCGGGGGCCGAAGAAGGGCGUGGCAAGCUGCGAUAAGCCCCGGGUAGCCGCAAGCAGGCGUUGAUCCGGGGAUUCCCUAAUGGGAUUCCAUGCCGCCGAGCUGCCUCGCGCGGCCGGCGGCGCUCCCGGGACUAGAGCCUGGGAGCGGGAACCGCCCGAACGGAAGCAUCCAAGUAGGGCGAGGAAAAGAAACCAAAAUGGGAUUCCCCUAGUAAGGGCGACUGAACGGGGAGCAGCCCAAACCGAACCCCUAUGGGAAACCAUGGGGGAAUGUGGGGUUAUCGGGGCCGGGCGUCCUCCCCUGCCAGCUGAGCCGAAGCGGCCUGGAAUGGCCCGCCAUAGAGGGUGAAAGCCCCGUAGGCGAAGGCUGGCGAGGAGAUGGCCCCGGAACCCAGAGUACCGCACCUCGGAUAUGGUGCGGGAAGUCGGGAGCCAAUCGGCUUCCAAGGCUAAAUACCCCCCGAGACCGAUAGUGCAGCAGUACCGUGAGGGAAAGUUGAAAAGUACCCCGGGAGGGGGGUGAAAAGCGCUUGAAACCGGCUGGUAACAGACGUGGGCGGCCCGGAAGGCACUCCCCGCAAACACUCCGCGUAGGGGUGGAGGCGGGGACACGCCAGGGUCGCCCGAUCCGUCUUGAAACACGGGCCGGGGAGUUCACGGUCGUGGCGAGCUUAAGGGCUCACCAAAGCCCGUAGGCGCGGGGAAACCAACAUGCCCGCAGCAGGCACGAGCCUGCGAGGGGCGGGGUCUGAAAGGGCCCGUAGUCACGGCCGUGAGGCUAGAAACCGGGCGAUCUAGCCCUGGGCAGGGUGAAGCCGGGCGAAAGCCCGGUGGAGGCCCGAACGGGUCCUGACGUGCAAGGGCGGCCUCCCAGAACUCAUAUAUUCCCAGGAAUUAAGUAGCAUCCAAAGACUUGGAUAGGAUAAAGCUAGGAUGUCUAUUGAUAAUGGUGCUAACCGACGGCGGAGUAAACAACGAUGAAGUAUAUUUCGCAACCACAGAUGAUGUGUUGGCAAGGUAUUUCACUAACCUCUCAGAAAGGCUGUGGAACAAAACGCCAAAGAAAAUAGUUUACAAACGGAACAAAUACUCGUGGAUGAAACUGAGAUUAAGAGACAGGUAAAUAUCAGAAUUAAUUAAGAAUCUAACAAAUAAUAAAACGAGAAUCCCUGACUUUAUCAUGAACGAGGACAACGCAGAGGUCUUGGGAGAGUAUCUAAGAAUUGUCGCCAGCACGGACGGUGGAGUAGCCGUAGUCAGCAGUUUCAAGAUAGAUAGACUUCAGAUGGAGGGGCUUACCCCAGGCCUAAGGUCUUCCAGGAGCUUAUGAGGGCUUCAAUGAGCUCAUGAGGAGCCCUAGGCUGAUGAAUCCCAAGACCUACGCAUGCCCAUGAAAGACUACGCAGGUCAGAACCCCAAGAGGGAAAGGCUAUACUAAAAACAAUGUUUUGAAACUUAUGUUAGAAAGUUACUCUGGGUUGGCCGCCCCACGAAAUUCGGUCCGUUGACCUGGGGCUAGGGGCUAAAAACCAAUCUAGCCCGGUGAUAGCUAGUUCCUCCCGAAGUGUCUCGCAGGACAGCCCUGGGGGAGGCGGCCCACGGGGUAGAGCACCGAUGGGGGAGUAAGGGCUCGAAAGGGCCCGCUCUCCUUUCGAACUCCGAAUCCGUGGGCGCCGUAGAUCCCAGGAGUGGGGUGUGCGGGGUAAGCUCGCACGCCGAGAGGGGAACAACCCGGACCUGGGGUUAAGGCCCCUAAGUGCCCGCUAAGUGACAAACCAAAGGGAGUCUCCAGCCAGAGACAGCGGGGAUGUGGGAACAGAAGCUGCCAUCAUCUAAGGAGUGCGUAACAGCUCACCCGCCGAGGUUGGGGGCCCCGAAAAUUGACGGGUCUAAGCGGGCCGCCGAAACCCCGGUCCACCCAUCGCAGCGGUGGGUGGAGGUAGGGAGGCGCGGCGGUUGGGUAGAAGCGGGGCCGUGAGGUCCCGUGGACCGGCCGCCGAUGUAGAUCCCGGCGGUAGUAACAGCGAAGAGGGGUGGGAAUCCCCUCCGCCGAAGGGGCAAGGGUCUCCCGGCGAUGCGUCGUCAGCCGGGAGUAAGCCGGUCCUAAGGCCGACCUUAACCGGGUAGGCCGAAAGGGAAGCCGGUUAAGAUUCCGGCGCCUCGGGGGUACGAUCGCGGCGACGCAAGCUCCGCGCCCGACGCCUCGGGGUAGGCUGAGCCAAGCCGUAGCUUGGUCCAAGCGUAUAAGCCUGGGGAGUGGCGUAAAGCCGAGAACCAGGCGAAAGCGCGAUUGGGCCGCCCGUAUGGGCGGUUCAGCCAAUCCCUGGGGCCCGUGAAAAGGGAGCGGAGAAGGAUCCCCGAGACCGUGCCCAGAACCGACACAGGUGCCCCUGGGUGAGAAGCCCAAGGCGUCUGGGGUCACACCAGGCGAGGGAACUCGGCAAACUGGCCCAGUACCUUCGGUAGAAGGGGUGCCUGCGGUCUUGGCCCCUGAUGGCUGGGACCGCAGGUCGCAGUGACCAGGGGGUCCCGACUGUUUAAUAAAAACAUAGGUAGCCGCGAGACCGAAAGGUUGUGUACGGCUACUGAAUCCUGGCCAGUGCGGGUACCUGAACCCCGGAUUCAACCGGGUUAAGGGCCCGUAAACGCCGGGAGUAACUCUGACUCUCUUAACGGGGACCUCCCCGCCCAUAAUCUAUUAUUAUGCUGUCUGUCCGGAGACUGUGAUGACUGACAGUUGCUUUGACCGAGGCUAUGUGAGUGGAAUCAUCGACGCAGAAGCAAGUUUUUCGGUAAGUGUAAAAAUUCAGAACGACUUAAGAUGCAAAAUAAGGCUUGGCCCGGUGUUGAGUAUAACGCAACGAAACGAAGAGGUUCUGUAUAUUGUUAAGGAAGUCCUUGGAUGCGGCAGAAUAUUCGCUAAACCUGCACAAAAGCACCUUUGGAUACUUGUAAUAGAUUAACUAACUGAACUAAAAGAAAAAUUAAUUCCAACAAUUGGCGAGUUUAGACUCAUUGUAAAGAAGAGACAGUAUCAGAUUUUCCGCAAAGUAGUCCUUGAACUUGCUGAAAAGAAAUACUCACUAAACAUAUAAUGAUGUUAAGGAGCUUGUGUUAAUGGCUUACGAACUUUCAGAAUUAAAUACUAAAUCUCACCGUAAGAGAACGCUUGAGAAUGUUCUCUCCUUAAUCCCUUAAGCUUAAAGGGCGGGUAAGGCCCCGGGAGAAAGGUAGCCAAAUGCCUUGUCGGGUAAGUUCCGACGUGCAUGAAUGGAUCAACGAGGGCCCCGCUGUCCCCGCCUGGUGCCCCGUGAACCCACGUAACGUGGACGAACAGUCCACGGUCCCCCAGCGGGGAGAGAAGACCCUGUGGAGCUUUACUGCAGCCUGGCGCUGGGGUGCGGCUGGAGGUGCAGAGCGUAGCCGGGAGCCGUCGAUCCCAGCCUCUCCGAGGGCUGGGGGAGGCGCCGAUGUAACACCGGCCACCUCUGGUUGCACUUCUGACCGGGGCCUUGUCCCUGGGACAACGCUAGGUGGGCAGUUUGGCUGGGGCGGCACCCCCUUGAAAAGAUAUCGAGGGGGCCCAAAGGUCGGCUUAGACGGGACGGAAAUCCGUCGUGAAGUGCAAGGGCAAAAGCCGGCCUGACUGGACCCUUGAACGCAAGGGGUCCAGAGGGGAAACCCGGGCCUAGCGAUCCAUCGGCUCCUACCGAUGGGGGCCGGUGGUGACAGAAAAGUUACCCCAGGGAUAACAGGCUCGUCGCGGGCGAGAGUCCCCAUCGACCCCGCGGCUUGGUACCUCGAUGUCGGCUCUUCCCAACCUGGCCGUGCAGCAGCGGCCAAGGGUGCGGCUGUUCGCCGAUUAAAGGGGAACGUGAGCUGGGUUUAGACCGUCGUGAGACAGAUCGGAUUCUACCUGCUGGGGGUGCUGGGGGCCUGGAGGGGAAGGUGUUCCCAGUACGAGAGGAACGGAGCGCCGGGGCCAACGGUGUACCGGUUGUCCUACAGGGCAGCGCCGGGCAGCCGCGCCCCCGCGGAUAAGGGCUGAAAGCAUCUAAGCCCGAAGCCGCUCCCGAAACGAGGCCCCCAACUGCCGGCUAAGGGCCUGGCAACAGGCCUAUGCUGGCGGCGAGGGCACCCGUAGAAGACGGGUUUGAUGGGGUGGGGGUGUAAGGGCGAAGGCUUCGGCCGACGUCCUCAGCCCGCCACUCCCAAAAGCCCGAGUGGCCUAUGGG
Molecule: ribosomal RNA, 4274 nt
Filed under: Candidatus Pelearchaeum maunauluense
Lineage: Archaea; Thermoproteati; Nitrososphaerota; Candidatus Caldarchaeales; Candidatus Calditenuaceae
Description: 23S ribosomal RNA
Rfam family: Archaeal large subunit ribosomal RNA
Source: RNAcentral